CAGCCACUGGAUGGAUGGAUGGAUGGCGUUGAAACCAGUGUCAGAGUCUGCCCCCUGGCCUUAUUGGAUUUUUGUUGUGGCCACAUUUAUUUACCCUCUUCGAGGCGAUGGUAUUUGGACACACAGUGUAAAUAUGAGAGGGAGAUGUCCAUGUCAUGUCCCAGAACCAUCCCCAGUUGCCACUUCCCCUAGAGCAAUUCCACAGCAGUUGAUUGAAGACAUUACUCAGCGCCCGAC
This 237-nucleotide long non-coding RNA is filed under the name Drosophila guanche. Lineage: Eukaryota; Metazoa; Arthropoda; Insecta; Diptera; Drosophilidae. The record is from RNAcentral.